Molecule: RNA transcript, 2757 nt
Organism: Wasmannia auropunctata (little fire ant)
Lineage: Eukaryota; Metazoa; Arthropoda; Insecta; Hymenoptera; Formicidae
Gene name: coiled-coil domain-containing protein R3HCC1L
Exons: 9
Source: RefSeq, a predicted model, not a curated record
UUGUUUCAGCUUACGAAAAUGUAGCAUCAGUCUCUCUGACUUAAGUCUUAAGUGGAGUCUGGUCUGGGGAGUCUGUGGAGUGAUAUUGUGUAAUUAUACGUGUUUAUGGAGUUGCGAAUAAGUUAAAAAGCUCGAAACUGAUUGAAACACGGGCAUCGGAAUUCAUCCGGUAUAAACGGUGAAUGUGCACGCUGACACACGUGAAUGUACCAUACACACCUUGUGAAUGUUAACGAAAGAUAAAUGAGUUUGCAAGAUAGCUUGUUUUCCGAGGAUGUCGAAUACGACGUAAACGUCUUUACGAAGGAUAAGACACGUAAGAGAGUACUCGUCUUUCCACCCGUCAAUAAUUAUCGUCGGUACAUAAUACACCAGCUGAUACAGGAUCGUUUCCCAGAUUUGCUGCAUACAUUCUCGAUUGGCCAAGGCUCGGCUAGGCGUACCGUAGUAUGUUACAAGAGUGAUGUGAGAAGAGAUUGGGACCCAAAACCGAAUUUUCCUGAGUGUAAAACAAAUUUUGCGUCAACGCAAAAGGACACAAAUCGCGGAAUGGGUAUCGAAGGCCGAUGCUCGCCCUCGAUGUCUCCAGAAUGUAAACUGCAGCGACAAGCUAAAUCAAUACCAACAGUUGAGAUUUAUAGACCACCAGCGGCUAGAAAGCUUAACAAUUGCUCACGGAUAAAUAGUAUACAGACACAAUUACAAUCGACUACAGAUGUUUCUUCAGUCAAGAAUGUACGUCAAAAACGACCUGAUCGAGCGGUUUACGUGCCUAGACCUCGCAGAAGUUUAGAAACUGAAGAUAAAAAGCCGCAAAGCCUGAAAGUUUCUCAUAUAACAUUAAAUGGAGAUUCAAAAAUGAAUAAUAAUUCUAAACUACAAGAUGUAUGUUGUAGUCAACAAAAUAUAGACGAUACAAUCUCAAAUGAUCAAACUUUUGAGAAUCGCAACACGAAGAUCGAGGAUGAACAUCUCCCACGAGAUAUUUCAGAAAAUAUAGUUUCUUUAGAUUCUGAAAAAAUUUCCGAUACUAUUAGUAAUGCCGAGCACAUAUAUAAAUUUUCGGAAGAAUUAAAAGAUAUGCCAACUUUAUCUAAAGAGGAAGAAACUAAUGUCGCAACUAAUAAUCUGGACGAAAACAGUACUAAUUCCAAUUUUUUAAAAUCAUCCAACCAAGUUGAAAUUAGUGACGAACAAUUAGGAAAAAUACAAGAAGUUACAAAAGAAAAUCAAUCCUCAAUCGAGUAUAUGAGUUGUAACGAUGUAAUUGACGAUAAAGAUAGACAACUAGUUAGGCAGAAUUUAGUAUCAGAUGUUCUAAUAAUUUCCGAUACUACUCGAAGGAAACCCAAACAGUCUGAACAACUUUCUCCAAUUCGUGUAACACCUGAGAAAAAAGUAAAAAAGAUAGAAAGGCAAAAAAGCAAACCGGUUCCACCACCUUCUCCACCUCUAAAAAUAAAUAGAGAUGAAUGCGAUUGGGAUAGCUUAUUUGACGAUAAUGGCGACUGUUUAGAUCCAACGUUAAUAGAAGAGCUUACAUCAGCAGUAGGUGAAGUAGUUAUAGAACAACCAAAGAACGAUUACAAGGCAUACAGCAAACAAAUUGAAGUGUCAAGUGAUGAAUUUGCACAUAUUGUGGAAAUUUACAAUUUUCCUUCCGAGUUCAAAACUAGCGAUUUGGCGGCUGUCUUCAGUUCUUUUAAGAAUGGUGGUUUCGAACUCAAGUGGGUGGACGAUACUCAUUGUUUGGGAGUUUUCAGCAGUCCUCUUGUUGCUGCCGAAGUGUUAGCAUCGAAUCAUCCAUUUGUGAAAACGAGACCACUUAGCGAAGCUACCGCUUUGAGUAAAACAAAAGCUAGAAGAAGUGCAGAAUAUUUGCAACCAUAUAGGAAUCGUCCUGAAACAUGCGCCGCCUUAGCUAGACGAUUAGUUACAGGUGCAUUGGGUGUGAAGCUUGCUACAGCUAGACAAGAACGUGAGCACGAAAAGAAUAUAUUACGUGAAGCAAAAGAGAAAAGACGAUUAGCCAACAAACAACGAGAGGAUGUUUGGGAGGGCAUAAUACCUACAAAGUAGCAUUCAUCAUAUAUCAUUAAUAUAGAAUAUUUAUAAGGAUUUGUACCUCAUAAUAUAUUAUACGCAUUCACGUUAUUGUGGUUGGCAUAGCUCAUCGUAGCUCGCAUAAUGUUAUUCUCGCAUUAGCGCGCAUGCGUAUAUUUGUGCCUUACUCGUGUCUAUUCGUUACAUUGAUAAACAAGAAAUUGGACAUUUUCCCACAAUUUGCCAAUUUAUCCGCUUUGCUACAGAAGAUCAACGAUAAUUUAUCAGUAAACGAAUUUGAUGUAGUGGAGUAUAAAGGAAAAAAAGUAGUAAAGACGAUAUCAGCGGUGCGCCCAUUCACGGUGUCCUCUACAUCUUUCCAUGCAAGAGAAUGCAAUAUUUAAAUAAAUAUAAUAUAUAAUAGCGAGCGAUGAUUUAGUUACUAAAAUUAGUACUUGAUGUCAAAAUUAUAAGUGUAAUGAGACAACAUAUAGAAAAAAAAAAAAAAAAAAGAGAAGAAAUGAAAUAUUUUGCAAUGAUCUUGCAAAAUGAUCGAUCUACUAUUGCGAGUUUAUACACAGCAACAAACAAUGAUACAUAUAUAGUAGUAUAUGGUAUCGCAGGACAAUAAGUUUAAUCAUUAUUUACUAGAACUAGUAACAAGAUUCUUUCACGUGCACAUCGAAUCGUUAUAUAGCGAUAUUUCAAACAAAA